AGGACGAACGCUUGCGACGUGCCUAAGAAAUGCAAGUCGAACGGGGGAGCAAUCCCUAGUGGCGAACGGUCGCGUAACACGUGGGCAACCUGCCCUGAAGCGGGGGACAACGUUCCGAAAGGGACGCUAAUACCGCAUGUGAAUGGGAAUGGCAUCAUUCUUACUUCAAAGCCUUCGGGCACUUCAGGAUGGGCCCGCGGCCUAUCAGCUAGUUGGUGAGGUAACGGCCCACCAAGGCUUCGACGGGUAGCUGGUCUGAGAGGACGAUCAGCCGGAUUGGGACUGAGAUACGGCCCAGACUCCUACGGGGGGCAGCAAUUAGGAAUCUUGCACAAUGGGCGAAAGCCUGAUGCAGCGACGUCGCGUGGAGGAUGAAAUCUUUCGGGAUGUAAACUCCUUUUCCAGGUAAGAACAAUGACGGUACCUGGAGAAUAAGCCCGGCUAACUACGCGCCAGCAGCCGC
Molecule: ribosomal RNA, 463 nt
Filed under: uncultured bacterium
Lineage: Bacteria
Description: SSU rRNA
Rfam family: Bacterial small subunit ribosomal RNA
Source: RNAcentral